UACGUAGGUGGCAAGCGUUGUCCGGAUUUACUGGGCGUAAAGGGUGCGCAGGCCGCGCGGGCAGUCAAAUGUGUAAUUCAGGGGCUCAACCCCUGCACUGCGCUUGAUACUUCCGCGCUCGAGCUUUGGAGAGGAGUCUGGAAUUCUCGGUGUAGCAGUGAAAUGCGUGGAUAUCGAGAAGAACACUUAGGGCGAAGGCAAGACUCUGGACAAAUGCUGACGCUCAUGCACGAAGGCUAGGGUAGCGAACGGG
This 253-nucleotide ribosomal RNA is filed under the name uncultured bacterium. RNAcentral's name for it is "partial 16S ribosomal RNA". It matches the Rfam family "Bacterial small subunit ribosomal RNA", at positions 524 to 776 of the family's 1533-position model. The record is from RNAcentral.